Long non-coding RNA from Astyanax mexicanus (Mexican tetra), 1284 nucleotides. RefSeq lists it as uncharacterized. The transcript has 6 exons. The record is from RefSeq and is a predicted model, not a curated record. NCBI's taxonomy places the organism in Eukaryota, Metazoa, Chordata, Actinopteri, Characiformes, Acestrorhamphidae.
GGAGCCGCUCGCUGCAGCCUGUAGGAAGGCGGAGUUGGACAUCCAACCCCGCCCACAUCCAACUCCGCCCAUGUCCAACUCCGCCUUACGUCUAAAGCAACACCCACCUUACGUCCGUCACGAACGCCUACAUUUACUCCAGGUAAACAGGAAUUGUAGCCGAGAAAGCAGCUAAAGCAUCUAUCUGAUUUAUAUCUCCGGUUAUGGCGCAUCCAACACAUGUCCAGGCCACUCCUGACCCUUCACGGUUUGGCCAGUGUGGUGUUUUCAAAUGCCCCUGCUUCAGUUUUGACACUGACCAGCGAUUUAAUAACAGCCUACAUCUACAAAACCAUAUCAAACAAGCAGUCGAGAAUAACGGAAAGUUCAGCGUGUUGAACGUGUGACUGAUGAAGGAGAUAGAAUGGGCAACGUCUCCUUUGAACAGAUGCCCCUUAUUCUCAUAGAUACAGUUCUGGAAGAGGGUGACAAAGCUUUUUUAAAGCUGUCACUGGUUUGUCGUCUCUUCCGGGACAUUGUUUGGACAACAAUCAUUCCGGGCCCGGGCACAUUUCGAGUGGCUUGACAGUGUAGUGCCAUGAAAACAUCACAGUGCUGCAUGUAAAGACGAGUUUCGCAGGAUGUACGAACUGCAGUGCUGCCAGAACUGUCAAGAAACUUAUAAAGACUGCAUACUGGGCUACGUUGGGCAUGGGAGACGAGGGGAGCUUGUGGCAUUUUACAGCGAAAACGAGCACCCUGGAUUCUGCAGCCAGCUUCAUGAGUGGCUGGGUGUGUGAGUGGCUGGGUGUGUGAGUGGCUGGGUGUGUGAGUGGCUGGGUGUGUGAGUGGCUGGGUGUGUGAGUGGCUGGGUGUUGCAUUUUUAAAUAAAGACUUCUGUAUUUGUUUGACCAAAGCAUGUAACCAAACAUUUUAAAGGCUAGUGUGCCAAUAAAUGCCAAUAAAGAUAUUGUAUUAGCUUGGACAAAGUGUUUGUAAAUGGAGUUAAUUUCCCUGGGAACUACUGUCAGCCAUACAAAAUUGGGAGAGGAGAAGCAGGAAAGGGAUAUUAUUAUUAUUAUUAUUAUUAUUAUUAUUAUUAUUAUUAUUAUUAUUAUUGACAAAAUAGCUAUGUAUACAUACAUUUUUAAUUUCUGAAACCACAGCAUUUGAUAUAUUGUACUCUAUCGUUAUACACUAUCCAGCAUACCAUUAUUACCACCUGCUUGUUUCUGCUUCUAUUAUUCUUUUUUUAGCUCCAAUUAGCAUCUAGGACACUUUAGUUGCAUAAUGGUUUACUGGUGU